GAAGAAUUGAAGAACUUGAGACUAGUUUGGUUGAAAGGAGGAGGGAUUGCUCCAACCAAGUUGUUGUCUUGUAACUAAAGAACGUAUAAUCAGGUUAGUUUGAGGAGAGACUCUGGGAUUGGACUAAAGAUUUGGUUUUCAGCUAAUUAACUUUUAAACGGUGUACUUUGGUAAUGGAAUCUAGGAAAUCGCUAGAAAAAUUU
This 203-nucleotide unclassified non-coding RNA is filed under the name Hevea brasiliensis (rubber tree). Lineage: Eukaryota; Viridiplantae; Streptophyta; Magnoliopsida; Malpighiales; Euphorbiaceae. The record is from RNAcentral.